UGCAAGAAAAGUGUUGAGUGAAAACACGAGAGUGAGCAAAGCACAAAAGUGAGAAGCAGUUAGGCUUCAGUUUGUGCAGAAAAUUAACGAGAGAAAAAUUGAGAGAUUGUCUUUGUAUAGGCAAAUAAAAUACAGAGAGUAUAUUUGUUAUAUCCAUUUUCUUCUCUUGUUGAUAUAGUAAAAGAAUUGGUGUGGGUUUGUGGACGUAGGCACGAUUGCCGAACCACAUAAAUUCUUGUGUCAUUUGCACUUAUUAUUUUUUGCUACAUUUAUUUCUUCUCAGUUCAAAUUAUUUUGUGUCCCACUGAUCCUGGCGGAAUUAGUAACGGUCUAAUUUCCUAACAGCCUAAAUGUUCUUGCACUAGAAAAACAUCUCAGUUCUUUGUGACGAUCUCUUGAACUUUAUUGACUUUCUUGCGAAGAAAAAUUCUGGAAGGCAUUCGUUAUUAAAAACCAAUGCCUACCAGUGUGAAACGGUUGUUCUGAUUUUGACUGCAUCCUUCGGCCUUUGACAUUGGCGGCUGAGUAGUGACUACUGACUAAUCUACCAGAGCAUGAAUCUGAAUGGAUUACCGACUAAAACAAGUAUUUAAGGAAUUGAUUUUACUCUUGCUUUUUUGGCUGAUCAUUGAAAGACAAUGGAAGGAGUUUCUAGAUUAUAAUGACACAAUUGGGGUUCAUAUUUCAUGACGAUGCCAGGAAGCUUGACAAAACUGCCAAAAAUCGCUACUCAGUGUAGCUUCACGAUUAAAGAUAAAAAGAAAUGGUUGAUGCCACCGUAGUGUCACGACCCGCUCGAUCUUGGCACAAGAAGAUCGAGAAAUUUAAAAUGUUGACGAGUUGGGGCUAACCGGAAUAUUCUAGACUCCCACAAGUGCAUGAAGAUUGCUAGAAUAUGGUGGGACAUUCUAGAAGCCUACAAGCCCCUCACUUGGUAGAUUAUUCUAGAUCAUCCUAGUUUAGUCCAUAGAUAUUUUAAUGUAGAUAUUUGUAUAGAUAAUUCUAGAUGUGUAAUCUAGACCGUUGGAUAGAAAAGAUCCUAGCCAUCCAUUUGAGGAGGCUACCACUAUAAAUAGCUUGGUAGGAUUCAUUUGAAGGAUCAAGAGAGUGAAAUUGUAAAG
This is a long non-coding RNA of Olea europaea var. sylvestris, 1121 nucleotides long. RefSeq lists it as uncharacterized. The transcript is spliced from 3 exons. The record is from RefSeq and is a predicted model, not a curated record. NCBI's taxonomy places the organism in Eukaryota, Viridiplantae, Streptophyta, Magnoliopsida, Lamiales, Oleaceae.